This 253-nucleotide ribosomal RNA is filed under the name uncultured bacterium. Its description in RNAcentral is "partial 16S ribosomal RNA". It matches the Rfam family "Bacterial small subunit ribosomal RNA", at positions 524 to 776 of the family's 1533-position model. The record is from RNAcentral.
CACGUAGGGGACGAGCGUUGUCCGGAUUCAUUGGGCGUAAAGCGCGCGUAGGCGGCUCGGAAAGUCGGUCGUGAAAUGCCGGGGCUCAACCCCGGGACUGCGUCCGAUACUCCCGAGCUGGAGGCAGGUAGGGGAGAUCGGAAUUCCUGGUGUAGCGGUGAAAUGCGCAGAUAUCAGGAGGAACACCGGUGGCGAAGGCGGAUCUCUGGGCCUUGCCUGACGCUGAGGCGCGAAAGCGUGGGGAGCGAACAGG